RNAcentral lists this transfer RNA (55 nucleotides) under Arabis stelleri subsp. japonica. Its description in RNAcentral is "partial tRNA-His". The record is from RNAcentral. Lineage: Eukaryota; Viridiplantae; Streptophyta; Magnoliopsida; Brassicales; Brassicaceae.
ACUUUUUUACAAAAAAAAGUAAGGUGGAAUUUCCUACCAGUUUUCUUUUUUAUUG